ACGGGUGUGGCUCAAUUGGUAGAGCAGCGGUCUCCAAAACCGCAGGUUGGGGGUUCGAGUCCCUCCGCCCGUG
RNAcentral lists this transfer RNA (73 nucleotides) under Saprospira grandis. RNAcentral describes it as "tRNA-Trp". It matches the Rfam family "tRNA". Rfam says of the family: Transfer RNA (tRNA) molecules are approximately 80 nucleotides in length. Their secondary structure includes four short double-helical elements and three loops (D, anti-codon, and T loops). Lineage: Bacteria; Pseudomonadati; Bacteroidota; Saprospiria; Saprospirales; Saprospiraceae. The record is from RNAcentral. RNAcentral also lists the same sequence under 5 other names.